Molecule: ribosomal RNA, 710 nt
Filed under: Staphylococcus cohnii
Lineage: Bacteria; Bacillati; Bacillota; Bacilli; Caryophanales; Staphylococcaceae
Also listed under: 1 other name
Description: bacterial SSU rRNA
Rfam family: Bacterial small subunit ribosomal RNA
Source: RNAcentral
CAGAUAAGGAGCUUGCUCCUUUGACGUUAGCGGCGGACGGGUGAGUAACACGUGGGUAACCUACCUAUAAGACUGGAAUAACUCCGGGAAACCGGGGCUAAUGCCGGAUAACAUUUAGAACCGCAUGGUUCUAAAGUGAAAGAUGGUUUUGCUAUCACUUAUAGAUGGACCCGCGCCGUAUUAGCUAGUUGGUAAGGUAACGGCUUACCAAGGCAACGAUACGUAGCCGACCUGAGAGGGUGAUCGGCCACACUGGAACUGAGACACGGUCCAGACUCCUACGGGAGGCAGCAGUAGGGAAUCUUCCGCAAUGGGCGAAAGCCUGACGGAGCAACGCCGCGUGAGUGAUGAAGGUCUUCGGAUCGUAAAACUCUGUUAUUAGGGAAGAACAAAUGUGUAAGUAACUGUGCACGUCUUGACGGUACCUAAUCAGAAAGCCACGGCUAACUACGUGCCAGCAGCCGCGGUAAUACGUAGGUGGCAAGCGUUAUCCGGAAUUAUUGGGCGUAAAGCGCGCGUAGGCGGUUUCUUAAGUCUGAUGUGAAAGCCCACGGCUCAACCGUGGAGGGUCAUUGGAAACUGGGAAACUUGAGUGCAGAAGAGGAAAGUGGAAUUCCAUGUGUAGCGGUGAAAUGCGCAGAGAUAUGGAGGAACACCAGUGGCGAAGGCGACUUUCUGGUCUGUAACUGACGCUGAUGUGCGAAAGCGUG